This 440-nucleotide ribosomal RNA is filed under the name uncultured bacterium. RNAcentral's name for it is "partial 16S ribosomal RNA". It matches the Rfam family "Bacterial small subunit ribosomal RNA", at positions 338 to 795 of the family's 1533-position model. The record is from RNAcentral.
CCUACGGGAUGCAGCAGUGGGGAAUAUUGGACAAUGGGGGGAACCCUGAUCCAGCGACGCCGCGUGAGUGAAGAAGUAUUUCGGUAUGUAAAGCUCUAUCAGCAGGGAAGAAAAUGACGGUACCUGACUAAGAAGCCCCGGCUAACUACGUGCCAGCAGCCGCGGUAAUACGUAGGGGGCAAGCGUUAUCCGGAUUUACUGGGUGUAAAGGGAGAGUAGACGGUGAAGCAAGUCUGUUGUGAAAGGUCGGGGCCCAACCGCAGGACUGCAUUGGAAACUGUUGACCUGGAGUACAGGAGAGGUAAGAGGAAUUCCUGGUGUAGCGGUGAAAUGCGUAGAGAUUAGGAGGAACGCCAGUGGCGAAGGCGGCUUACUAGACUGUAACGGACGUUGAGGCUCGAAAGCGGGUGGAGCAAACAGGAUUAGAUACCCGAGUAGUC